Molecule: long non-coding RNA, 4707 nt
Filed under: Mytilus galloprovincialis (Mediterranean mussel)
Lineage: Eukaryota; Metazoa; Mollusca; Bivalvia; Mytilida; Mytilidae
Source: RNAcentral
GAUUUUUUUGGGGUUAAUUAUUUAAUAUAGAUAUUAUGUGACUUUUUGAUUGAUGGUUUUGAUUAACACAUGUAAGUAGCACAAAUACUUCACUGAAAUAGGGAUGUCUACGUUGAAAAAAAAGCUGUGAAAAUUUCAUCUGUCUUGUAUGGUUCAAGACUAUGUUUAAUUUUUAUGAAAUUUGUUGACUUGCAAUUUGCAAAUUUAGAAAAUAAAAGAAAUUUUCAGAACAAUAAAUUAUACAGACCUUCAGAAAUACCAAAUUUAAGCUCCAUAAAGUCUAUAUUUAGGAGAGAAAUGAGGAUCUGAAAUAGGUAUUUUUAUGGCACUCUGUAUGUAAACAACUUUUUUUUGCAUCUGUUGCAGCAUAUAUUUAUAUUAUAGGGUAGGAUAGGGAUAUGUAGUGCUAAUACAUAUAGAUGUGCAAUAUAGCAAUUAUGUUUUUGGUUGCAUUAGAUCAUUGUGAUGUCACUGCAAAGCAUAAACAUUUUUAUUUUUAUCUCAUAAAAAUUCUGCUUGAAAAACAGUCCAAACAUUUUAAAUUUAUAUAUUUAAAUUUGACUUAAACCAGGGUUUUCACCAACUUUAAGCAAAAAGUCCUUCUUAUUGUGUAGAAUUGUAUGUAUUCCAAAAACACAGAAUCUCCUAUAGACUUAAGAGUCACCUAAAUGUCCACAAAUGAAGUUUUGCUUCCAAGUGGCAUAUAUUUCAGAUUCAACUUGUUUUGUGAAUGUGAUAACUUGUUUUGUGAUACAAUGUAUUGACAGUGAUAGUAGAAUAGAAAUUUGAAAGGUCUACAGCAGAUUAAUUACUAUUGAUAUUGAGUAAUAUAUGUUUUCAUAAAAUAUUUUUGUUCUUUGUUUUGUUUAAGGAAAAACUUUUAACAAAAGAUGUGUUAAUUAUCAAGUUCUUAUCCAUUGUUGACUACCAGAUGACGACAUCUGUAUGUUUGCUUUUGGUGAACUUAUUUUCUCAUUUGAAUGGUUUUAUUUACACUAGUAAUUUUUUUGGGGCCCUUUAUUGCUUACUGUUCAGUGUGAGCCAAUGUUUCAUGUUGAAUACUGUACUUUGACCUAAAAUGGUUUACUUUUAUAAACAGUGACUUGGAUGGAGAGUUGUGUCAAUGGCACUCAUACCACAUCUUCUUAUAUCUAUUGAAUCUUCUUCUUUAUGUUUCAUUGAGUCCACAUCUGUUUUAUAUUUACUGGGUGCCAAAAUAAGUUAUGUGUCUUAUACAUUUGUUUUUCAAAUUGGAAAAAGAUCUCUCACAGCCUGUGUUAUUUUUUUCCCCCACAUUUUACAUUACAUACUACCAUCGUUGUUUAUGUUAAACAACAGUUUAGCUUCAUCUUAGAAAAUAGGAAAAGAUAUUGAUUACAUGUGCAUUAAGCUGUUAAACGUAUUUGAAAUUACAGUUGUGUUCAAUUUUGUCUGUCUAAUAUAUUUAAAUUAGUUUAAUUUUUGCAAGGGUAAUAGGUCACGAUGAUACACGUUAUCAGGAUUGAAAUACAUGGACCUUUUUUUUUACCUUAGAGGUCCCUCUUUUACUAAAAAAAGGAUAAGUAUUCAUUUAUUGUUGGGGCUAGUUUUAAGGGAUAGCUCUUGGUUUAUUGGGACCCCUAAAGUAAUAGAAAGCCCAUGUAUUGCAAAUCUGAUUUUGUUUAUCUAUGCUUUAUCACUAUUCUUACCAACGAUCUAUCCAUACUUAUGGAUAUUUUUAUAUUUAGUUACAAAUUUUGUUGAACACACAUCGUUUGCACAUAGUGAAUUUUAGGUCCUGUUGUUGUAUAGUGUAGUUUAUAAGAUAAAUUAAUAUAAGGUCAAUAAUUAUACAUUAAUGUUUUAUAAGUGCAAUUUUUUUCUUUGAAUUGAAGGUCUUCCAUUAAAAUGCUGAACACAUUUGUGUCUUAUGUUGAUUAUUUUGGAAACAAAAUUAGGGAUUUACCUUUAGUAUGUAAAUGAAAUAAUCCUAAAUUAGACCAGGCUGACUUUUCACACAGUUUCAUAGGACUAAUGACAAGAUGGAGACCUUAACAAAUGAAAUGAACGAUUUCAUCAUAUUCAAUACUCAAAAAUCAUUACCAUGACAUCGAUUAAUAUGAUAUUUGGAUAGUAAUAUUUUGAAAAUUUGAGUUCUACUGUUAUUUUUUAAAUCUUGCAGGGGUUUAUAACAUAAAUAGCUAAAUAACUACUUUAUGUAUAAAUUUUGUAUUGUGUUAACAUUUAGAUAGUGAUUUAUACCUCCCUGCUAUUGUUGAAAUUACUGGGUUCAAUUAUUCUAAAAAUAUUAAAAGAUGAACGAGUAUAGAGACAACAACAGCUAUAUUAGCUGAAGGUUGAAAGUUUAAUUUGGGUUCACAUGGUUAAACUAUCAAUAAGCAGCUAAUAUCAGGGAUGUUGUCUCUAGGUUAUUCCUUAGAAAUAAGAUUUAUUUCAUCAUUAUAGUGUAUUGACUAUCACUAAAAUUGAAGCAAAUUACAUGGUUAAGAAUAUACUCCAACUCUCUGUUUUCGUACAUUAAAAAAUGUACAUAUAGUAACAUGAAACUGUACAAUUUUAAAGAUACCAUUGGAACAAACAACACAUUGUUUUGAUUAUAUAUGUUGCAUUUUAUGCUAAAUACAUGUUAAGAAGUAUAUAUAUAACACAGGCUUAAUUGUUGGUUUUAAUCGUCUAAGUAUAAUUUAUAUUCAUCUACAUUGUAUAUAUACAAUAUAUAUUUAUAUAAUCUCCUCAGGGAAAGAAAGGGACCAUGUUACUUAAUCUCAAUGUAUAAAUAUAGUAUGCUCAGAUUAGCAGGCCUAGUACUUUAAAAAUUUUGAAAGUUUGACUGUAACAAAAUUCCUUAUGAUGGAUGUGGAACGUAGGGUAAUUUAGAUACAGAAGGUGCAAGAAGUUCAUAAAAUUACUUGCAUGUUCAUGGAAAAAAUAUUAUUUAAUCAUGCUGCUCUCAAAUCAUCAUGAAGAUAACCAGGGACAGAACUUUUAAAAAUCACUGGUAGUUUAUUUCAACCAUUUUCAUAAAUAUUAUCUAAGCCUUGGGUGAAACAGACCAUUUUUCCUUUUGUGUCAAGUAAAUAUUUAAAAUACUUUGAUGAAACAGACUAUUACAAACUUGAUUCUGAUUUAAAGAGUUGUCUUCCUUAUCCUCAUUCAACCACCCUGACCCUUAAGCUUGAUAAAUAUUAUAUCAUUGAUUUGUUUCCAUUAAGGCCUGAAAGUUAAUUUUUUCAGGGUGAGCAAAUCAAAUUCCUUCAUUUUUUGUCAGAUAUAAAAUGAUUUCUUGUAGGAGAAACAGUUAAAAUAAGGAUGAUGCAAUUUUGUAGAUAUGAAGAACAAAUAUCCUCCCAAAAACAGAACAAAAUUAUAUAUAUUUGAAAACUGGGAAGUUUUGCAAUUGUUUACCCAUAGUGAACAAAUCUUCAUCCAAAAUGAAUCAUAAAUUUACUUGUUUUUUCACCAUUUGACAUAGAAUAAUUUUUUUUUCUUUAAAAGUAUAAUGCAGUUCAUUUGUUAAAUUGUUGUUCUUUGGUCUUGUGAAGAAUUAUGACUUACUAUGCAUAUGUUUUUAUUUAUUAUUAAUAUAUAGAAUUAUGAACUUGAUGCAGAGGCAUCUUAAAAAUCGAAAAAAAUCUAGUCAGAUUUAAUGUGUUAUGUAAACUAUCACAUGUAAAGUGAAAAAUGAAUACUUAUCAUUCAGACAAACUGUUUUGUACAUAUAAAGUCUGUAAUAUUUAUAUAAAACAUUCAGGCCACUUGUUUGUAGUUUGUAAUAGAUUUUCAUAAUGCAUGUUUGAAUUAUUCAUAUUAUAUAAUUUUCUUUUGAGAUAUUUAAAGCCUGCAAAUUUUUCAAAAUAGAUUUUUGGAAUAUGGGAUUUGCUUCAGAAAGUACCUUUGAUGACUUGUAUAAGUACUUAACAAAUUUGUUUGAUGUGGAUUUGAUAUUUUUAAGUUUAAAUUCCCCAUAUAAAUUGAUUUAUGAAUAGUGCAUAUUAAAUUUAGAAAAUAGCUUUGUGCCAGCAUUUUUCCAUUUGGCUUUAGAAAUAAUUCAUUAGUGCUUACACCAAAUAUCUUUUCCCAAACAAGUUACUAGUUUCUAAAGUGUUGGUCCUAGUUAUGGAUUCUUAUUUAAACAGUGUUAAACCGGACAUCAGACUUUUUUAUCCUGAUCUCGGAAUAGGAAAAUGUAAAAAGUCACAUGACUUUUUCCGGUCCAAUUUAUUAUUAAGCCUUAAUUUCCUUUCCUUAUGACUUGAUCUGCACCAAUCAUGUUCACUGUUUUAUUUUAUAGUGUAUAAUAUUAUUGAAAUGAACUUUGACCCAUAUAUCUUACUGUGUGUAUGUACGAUAGGGUCCUGUAUCAAAUUUAAAUUGUUGACUAUGUAUAAAAUUAUAGUGCAUUAAUUGUUGAAACUUGUGCUCAUGUCAUAUGACUGUUUAUUAUUGUAUAUUUAUAAAUAUAAGUUACGUUAUGAAAUUUGAGAGAGAAAGAAAGAAGAAAAAGAAAGAGAACAAUGAAAGUGACAGAAAACUAAGAGUGAAAAUGAACAUUAUUGAUGUAUGUGUUUGAAGAGUCAACACUAAGUGCUGAAAUGAUUAAAAAUAUUUAAAAAAAAUCUUUGUUCUUUGUUAAUAUUUUCAAUAGAAAGGCAUUCUUUUAAAUCCUUAAGUUGGAUGAUUUAAUAUAUGGUCACUAAAUAGAGCACC